RNAcentral lists this ribosomal RNA (497 nucleotides) under uncultured bacterium. RNAcentral describes it as "bacterial SSU rRNA". It matches the Rfam family "Bacterial small subunit ribosomal RNA", at positions 27 to 507 of the family's 1533-position model. The record is from RNAcentral.
CGGACGAACGCUGGCGGCGUGCCUAACACAUGCAAGUCGAACGGUCCGGCACUCAACCGACCCUCAGUCUAACUGUAGGGGAAGUUGAGUGCCGGGUAGUGGCGGACGGGUGAGUAACGCGUGGGCAACCAACCCUGUACAGUGGGAUAACACCGGGAAACCGGUGCUAAUACCGCAUGACACCUAUAUGGUGCAUACCGUAUAGGUUAAAGGAUUUAACCGGUACAGGACGGGCCCGCGUCCCAUUAGCUAGUUGGUGAGGUAACGGCCCACCAAGGCGACGAUGGGUAGCCGACCUGAGAGGGUGACCGGCCACACUGGGACUGAGACACGGCCCAGACUCCUACGGGAGGCAGCAGUGGGGAAUAUUGCGCAAUGGGGGGAACCCUGACGCAGCGACGCCGCGUGAGCGACGAAGGCCUUCGGGUCGUAAAGCUCUGUUCUUGGGGACGAAGGAAAUGACGGUACCCAAGGAGAAAGCCCCGGCUAACUACGUG